This 492-nucleotide ribosomal RNA is filed under the name uncultured bacterium. Its description in RNAcentral is "partial 16S ribosomal RNA". It matches the Rfam family "Bacterial small subunit ribosomal RNA", at positions 29 to 507 of the family's 1533-position model. The record is from RNAcentral.
AGUGAACGCUGGCGGUAGGCCUAACACAUGCAAGUCGAACGGCAGCACAGUAAGAGCUUGCUCUUACGGGUGGCGAGUGGCGGACGGGUGAGGAAUACAUCGGAAUCUACUUUUUCGUGGGGGAUAACGUAGGGAAACUUACGCUAAUACCGCAUACGACCUACGGGUGAAAUCAGGGGAUCUUCGGACCUUGCGCGAUUGAAUGAGCCGAUGUCGGAUUAGCUAGUUGGCGGGGUAAAGGCCCACCAAGGCGACGAUCCGUAGCUGGUCUGAGAGGAUGAUCAGCCACACUGGAACUGAGACACGGUCCAGACUCCUACGGGAGGCAGAAGUGGGGAAUAUUGGACAAUGGGCGCAAGCCUGAUCCAGCCAUACCGCGUGAGUGAAGAAGGCCUUCGGGUUGUAAAGCCCUUUUAUUGGGAAAGAAAAGCAGCAGGUUAAUACCCCGCUGUUCUGACGGUACCCAAAGAAUAAGCACCGGCUAACUUCGUG